RNAcentral lists this non-coding RNA (30 nucleotides) under Homo sapiens (human). The record is from RNAcentral. Lineage: Eukaryota; Metazoa; Chordata; Mammalia; Primates; Hominidae.
UUGAAGGCAGUCUGAACCCUUGUGCUUGGU